AACGAACGCUGGCGGCAUGCCUAACACAUGCAAGUCGAACGAGAACUUCGGGUCUUGUCGCGCAUGGGUGCGUAACGCGUGGGAACCUGCCCUUAGGUUCGGAAUAACUCUCCGAAAGGGAUGCUAAUACCGGAUAAGGUCUACGUACCAAUAAUUUAUCGCCCUUGGUUGGGCACGCGUCGGAUUAGCUAGUUGGUAGGGUAAUGGAUUACAAAGGCAAGGAUGCGUAGCUGGGCUGAGAGGGUGAUCACCCACACUGGAACUGAGACACGGUCCAGACUCCUACGGGAGGCAGCAGUAGGGAAUCUUCCGCAAUGGGCGAAAGCUUGACGGAGCAACGCCGCGUGAGUGAUGAAGGUCUUCGGAUCGUAAAACUCUGUUAUUAGGGAAGAACAAAUGUGUAAGUAACUAUGCACGUCUUGACGGUACCUAAUCAGAAAGCCACGGCUAACUACGUG
Molecule: ribosomal RNA, 458 nt
Filed under: uncultured bacterium
Lineage: Bacteria
Description: partial 16S ribosomal RNA
Rfam family: Bacterial small subunit ribosomal RNA
Source: RNAcentral